CACCCGCGCCACGAGUGGUGGUCGCGUUUAUUGGGCCUAAAGCGUUCGUAGCCUGUUUGGCAAAUCCUUUGUAAAAUUGUUAGCUUGAAUCUAACAGCGUUCAAGGGAGACUACCUGACUAGAGAUCGGGAGGAGAUAGAAGUAUUCUUUGGGGAGUGGUAAAAUAUUAUAAUCCUUAGAAGACUACCCGUGGCGAAGGCGUCUAUCUAGAACGAGUCUGACGGUGAUGAACGAAAGCUAGGGGAGCGAUCCGGAUUAGAUACCCGAGUAGUCCUAGCAGUAAACGCUGUGAGCUAUGUGGUGCAUAUUCUUAGAGAAUGUGCAGUGCCGUAGUGAAGACGUUAAGCUCACCGCCUGGGAAGUACGGCCGCAAGACUGAAACUUAAAGAAAUUGGCGGGGGAGCACUACAAGGGGUGCGGCGUGCGGUUUAAUUUAAUUCCACCCAGAACAUCUCACCAGGAACGACGGCAGAAUGAAGGUCAGAUUGAAGGUCUUACCUAACGAGCCGAGAGGUGGUGCAUGGCCGCCGUCAGUUCGUGCCGUAAGGUGUCCUGUUAAGUCAGGCAACGAACAAGACCUACGCUUACAGUUGCUAACGAGUCUUAAGACGCAAGUCGUACAGAUGAUCGUGCACUUUGUAAGGACUGCCUUCGAAAGGAGGAGGAAGGUGUAGGCAACGGUAGGUCUGUAUGCCCCAAAUUCCUUGGGCUACACGCGCGCAACAAUGGUAGGUACAAUGGGAUGCAACUCUGAAAAGAGAAGCCAAACCUCGAAACCCUAUCCCAGUCUAGAUUGAGGAUUGUAACUCAUCCUCAUGACAUCGGAAUCCCUAGUAAUCAGACGUCAUUAACGUCUGGUGAAUAUGUCCCUGCUCCU
Molecule: ribosomal RNA, 877 nt
Filed under: uncultured archaeon
Lineage: Archaea
Description: SSU rRNA
Rfam family: Archaeal small subunit ribosomal RNA
Source: RNAcentral